This 24-nucleotide non-coding RNA is filed under the name Arabidopsis thaliana (thale cress). Lineage: Eukaryota; Viridiplantae; Streptophyta; Magnoliopsida; Brassicales; Brassicaceae. The record is from RNAcentral.
GGGAGCUACCUUGUAAGUGAUAUA